AGAGUUUGAUCCUGGCUCAGAAUGAACGUUGGCGGCGUGGAUUAGGCAUGCAAGUCGAGCGAGAAUUCCCCGCAAGGGGGAGGACAGCGGCGAAAGGGAGAGUAACACGUGGAUACCUACCCUCGGAACUGGGAUAGCUGCGGGAAACUGCAGGUAAUACCAGAUAAUGUCCCCGGACCAAAGGUGUGAUUCCGUCCGAGGAGGGGUUCGCGUCCUAUUAGCUUGUUGGUGGGGUAACGGCCUACCAAGGCAAUGAUGGGUAUGGGGUGUGAGAGCAUGCCCCCACUCACUGGGACUGAGAUACUGCCCAGACACCUACGGGUGGCUGCAGUCGAGGAUCUUCGGCAAUGGGCGCAAGCCUGACCGAGCGACGCCGCGUGCGGGAUGAAGGCCUUCGGGUUGUAAACCGCCGUCAGAGGGGAGGAAAUUCCAAGGGGUUCUCCCUUUGGAUUGACCUAUCUUCAGAGGAAGUACGGGCUAAGUUCGUGCCAGCAGCCGCGGUAAGACGAACCGUACGAACGUUAUUCGGAUUCACUGGGCUUAAAGGGUGCGUAGGCGGCCCGGAAAGUUGGGUGUGAAAGCCCUCGGCUUAACCGAGGAAUUGCGCCCAAAACUGCCGGGCUUGAGGGAGACAGAGGUGAGCGGAACUUANGGUGGAGCGGUGAAAUGCGUUGAUAUCCUAAGGAACACCAGGAGCGAAAGCGGCUCACUGGGUCUCUUCUGACGCUGAGGCACGAAAGCUAGGGGAGCGAACGGGNUUAGAUACCCUGGUAGU
Molecule: ribosomal RNA, 775 nt
Filed under: uncultured bacterium
Lineage: Bacteria
Description: bacterial SSU rRNA
Rfam family: Bacterial small subunit ribosomal RNA
Source: RNAcentral